AUUCUACUCCCUCUGUUCCACAAUAAAUGCCUUUUAUUUGUCAAAAUAUAGAUGUAUCUAGACAUGUUUUAGUAUACAGGUACAUCCAUUUUUGGACAAAUGGAAGUCAAGUAUUUUGGAACGGAGGGAGUACACA
Triticum aestivum (bread wheat) is the source of this 136-nucleotide non-coding RNA. The record is from Rfam. NCBI's taxonomy places the organism in Eukaryota, Viridiplantae, Streptophyta, Magnoliopsida, Poales, Poaceae.